GCCUGUGUGGCAUAAUGGUUUGAGUGUUGGAUUGUGUUCUGGAGACCAGGGAUUGAUUCCCAGCUCGGCCA
Phrynosoma platyrhinos (Desert horned lizard) is the source of this 71-nucleotide non-coding RNA. The record is from the annotation of a GenBank genome assembly. Lineage: Eukaryota; Metazoa; Chordata; Lepidosauria; Squamata; Phrynosomatidae.